GUUAUAAUAGAAUGGAACAAUUGUAAAACAAAACAUUGCAACAAAGAAAAAAAUGAAAAGUCUGCAUACCCUUAGUUGUUAAUACUGUGUAUUGUCCCCUUUAGCAUCAAUGACAGUGUGCAGUGUUUUGUGAUAGUUAUCUAUGAGGCCCCUAAUUCUUGCAGGUGGUAUAGCUGCCCAUUCGUCUUGGCCAAAUGCCUCCAAAUCAUGCAAAGUCUGUGGACGUCUUGCAUGAACCGCACAUUUGAGAUCUCCCCAGAGUAGCUUGAUGAUAUUAAGGUCAGGAGACUUUGAUGGCCACUCCAGAACCUUUACCUUUUUUUGCUGUAAGGGUCAACUUGGCCUUUUGCUUAGGGUCAAUGUCAUACUGGAUAGUCCAAGAGCAAACUAUGCACAGCCUUCGUGCUGAAGAAUGCAAAUCAUCUGUCUGUAUUUUCUGAUAACAUGCUGCAUUCAUCUUGCC
Pelobates cultripes (western spadefoot toad) is the source of this 463-nucleotide non-coding RNA. Lineage: Eukaryota; Metazoa; Chordata; Amphibia; Anura; Pelobatidae. The record is from the annotation of a GenBank genome assembly.